RNAcentral lists this transfer RNA (64 nucleotides) under Sphaeroma terebrans. RNAcentral describes it as "tRNA-Ala". Lineage: Eukaryota; Metazoa; Arthropoda; Malacostraca; Isopoda; Sphaeromatidae. The record is from RNAcentral.
UGAAAGCUGUAAAACUAUUUGUUCUUGAUUUGCACUCAAGAGAUGCGGUCACGCUAGUUUUUAA